CAAUAGCGUAUAUUAAAGUUGUUGCAGUUAAAAAGCUCGUAGUUGGAUUUCUGGUGGGAGCGAUCGGUCUGGCGCUUAGCGCGAGUACUUGCAUCGUCUCCGGCCAUCCUUGGGGAGAGUCUGUCUGGCAUUAAGUUGUCGGGCAGAGGAUCCUCAUCGUUUACUGUGAAAAAAUUAGAGUGUUCAAAGCAGGCUUAUGCCGUUGAAUAUAUUAGCAUGGAAUAAUAAGAUAGGACUUUGGUACUAUUUUGUUGGUUUGCGCACCAAAGUAAUGAUUAAUAGGGACAGUUGGGGGUAUUCGUAUUCCGUUGUCAGAGGUGAAAUUCUUGGAUUUACGUAAGACGAACUACUGCGAAAGCAUUUACCAAGGAUGUUUUCAUUAA
Molecule: ribosomal RNA, 383 nt
Filed under: uncultured eukaryote
Lineage: Eukaryota
Description: partial 18S ribosomal RNA
Rfam family: Eukaryotic small subunit ribosomal RNA
Source: RNAcentral